Molecule: ribosomal RNA, 252 nt
Filed under: uncultured bacterium
Lineage: Bacteria
Description: partial 16S ribosomal RNA
Rfam family: Bacterial small subunit ribosomal RNA
Source: RNAcentral
UACGGAGGAUGCGAGCGUUAUCCGGAUUUAUUGGGUUUAAAGGGUGCGUAGGCGGUCUUUUAAGUCAGCGGUGAAAUUCCGGGGCUCAACCCCGGCGAGCCGUUGAAACUGGGAGACUGGAGUCGGUGAAAGGUACGCGGAAUGCGCGGUGUAGCGGUGAAAUGCAUAGAUAUCGCGCAGAACUCCGAUCGCGAAGGCAGCGUACCGGCGCCGCACUGACGCUGAGGCACGAAAGCGUGGGUAUCGAACAGG